RNAcentral lists this ribosomal RNA (433 nucleotides) under uncultured bacterium. Its description in RNAcentral is "partial 16S ribosomal RNA". It matches the Rfam family "Bacterial small subunit ribosomal RNA", at positions 29 to 507 of the family's 1533-position model. The record is from RNAcentral.
AACGAACGCUGGCGGCAGGCUUAACACAUGCAAGUCGAACGCACCUUUCGGGGUAAGUGGCAGACGGGUGAGUAACGCGUGGGAAUCUACCCUUCUCUACGGGAUAGCUCCGGGAAACUGGAAUUAAUACCGUAUACGUCCUGAGGGAGAAAGAUUUAUCGGGGAAGGAUGAGCCCGCGUUGGAUUAGCUAGUUGGUGGGGUAAAGGCCUACCAAGGCGACGAUCCAUAGCUGGUCUAAGAGGAUGAUCAGCCACAUUGGGACUGAGACACGGCCCAAACUCCUACGGGAGGCAGCAGUGGGGAAUAUUGGACAAUGGGCGCAAGCCUGAUCCAGCCAUGCCGCGUGAGUGAUGAAGGCCCUAGGGUUGUAAAGCUCUUUCAGGGGGGACGAUAAUGACGGUACCCACAGAAGAAGCCCCGGCUAACUUCGUG